GAUGAAGAACGCAGCGAAAUGCGAUACUUGGUGUGAAUUGCAGAAUCCCGUGAACCAUCGAGUCUUUGAACGCAAGUUGCGCCCGAAGCCAUUAGGCCGAGGGCACGCCUGCCUGGGCGUCACACGUCGUUGCCCCCCCAUCUACUCCUUCGGGAUUGCGGGGGGCGGAUGAUGGCCUCCCGUGCGCCUCGCCGCGCGGUUGGCAUAAAUGCCAAGUCCUCGGCGCCGCACGCCACGACAAUCGGUGGUUGCGAAACCUCGGUUGCCCGUCGUGUGCGGUCGUCGCGCAUCGAGGGCUCGAAAAAAUUGCCGGGUUCCGGCUCGGCUUUCAACGCGACCCCAGGUCAGGCGGGGUUACCCGCUGAAUUUAAGCAUAUCAAUAAGCGGAGGA
Molecule: unclassified non-coding RNA, 391 nt
Filed under: soil metagenome
Description: partial contains 5.8S ribosomal RNA, internal transcribed spacer 2, and large subunit ribosomal RNA
Rfam family: 5.8S ribosomal RNA (bases 1-122)
Source: RNAcentral